This 514-nucleotide ribosomal RNA is filed under the name uncultured bacterium. Its description in RNAcentral is "partial 16S ribosomal RNA". It matches the Rfam family "Bacterial small subunit ribosomal RNA", at positions 28 to 523 of the family's 1533-position model. The record is from RNAcentral.
GAUGAACGCUGGCGGCGUGCCUAAUACAUGCAAGUCGAGCGAAUGGAUUAAGAGCUUGCUCUUAUGAAGUUAGCGGCGGACGGGUGAGUAACACGUGGGUAACCUGCCAUAAGACUGGGAUAACUCCGGGAAACCGGGGCUAAUACCGGAUAAUAUUUUGAACUGCAUGGUUCAAAAUUGAAAGGCGGCUUCGGAUGUCACUUAUGGAUGGAACCGCGUCGCAUUAGCUAGUUGGUGAGGUAACGGCGCACCAAGGCAACGAUGCGUAGCCGACCUGAGAGGGUGAUCGGCCACACUGGGACUGAGACACGGCCCAGACUCCUACGGGAGGCAGCAGUAGGGAAUCUUCCGCAAUGGACGAAAGUCUGACGGAGCAACGCCGCGUGAGUGAUGAAGGCUUUCGGGUCGUAAAACUCUGUUGUUAGGGAAGAACAAGUGCUAGUUGAAUAAGCUGGCACCUUGACGGUACCUAACCAGAAAGCCACGGCUAACUACGUGCCAGCAGCCGCGGUAA